Molecule: ribosomal RNA, 289 nt
Filed under: uncultured Actinomycetales bacterium
Lineage: Bacteria; Bacillati; Actinomycetota; Actinomycetes; Actinomycetales
Description: partial 16S ribosomal RNA
Source: RNAcentral
CUACUGGGGUAUCUAAUCCUGUUCGCUCCCCACGCUUUCGCUCCUCAGCGUCAGUUACUGCCCAGAGACCCGCCUUCGCCACCGGUGUUCCUCCUGAUAUCUGCGCAUUUCACCGCUACACCAGGAAUUCCAGUCUCCCCUACAGCACUCUAGUCUGCCCGUAUCGACUGCAGGCUCGGGGUUGAGCCCCGAGUUUUCACAGCCGACGCGACAGACCGCCUACGAGCUCUUUACGCCCAAUAAUUCCGGACAACGCUUGCACCCUACGUAUUACCGCGGCUGCUGGCAC